CUGGGUCAAGGGCUCUGUUUAUCCAUAGAACAGUUCAGCCAUGGCAUAGGCAGUGCAAGCUACCCCCAUCAAUAUGCCUCACUUCUGAGAUGGACCACACCCUCCCAGGAGAAAUGGGUGUGACAUUCCAUUUAAAGAGUUUAC
RNAcentral lists this small RNA (144 nucleotides) under Gopherus agassizii (Agassiz's desert tortoise). RNAcentral's name for it is "TUC338 (ENSGAGG00000021386.1)". The record is from RNAcentral. Lineage: Eukaryota; Metazoa; Chordata; Testudines; Testudinidae.